CAGCAGCCGCGGUAAUACGUAGGUGGCAAGCGUUGUCCGGAUUUACUGGGCGUAAAGAGCGCGCAGGCGGCUGGUCAAGUCCGAUGUGAAAUCUCCCGGCUCAACUGGGAAACUGCAUCGGAAACUGAUCGGCUUGAAGGUGGGAGAGGGUAGUGGAAUUCCCGGUGUAGUGGUGAAAUGCGUAGAUAUCGGGAGGAACACCAGUGGCGAAGGCGACUACCUGGCCCAUUCUUGACGCUGAGGCGCGAAAGCUAGGGGAGCGAACGGG
This 268-nucleotide ribosomal RNA is filed under the name uncultured prokaryote. Its description in RNAcentral is "partial 16S ribosomal RNA". It matches the Rfam family "Bacterial small subunit ribosomal RNA", at positions 509 to 776 of the family's 1533-position model. The record is from RNAcentral.